CAUGGGGCCACACACCCGCUCCUCAGUCCUUCUGAUGGAAAACGCCAGCCAAAGGGAAGGUUCGAGUGACUCUGGGACAGAGGGAAGAGGGAUAGGGACCCCCAGCCGGGGUCAGACCACCUCUCUAGCCCUGGAGGAGCCCAGCACUGUCCACUCCAAAGCCUCGUGAAGGAGGCCUCAGCCGGGAGCAAGGAGGCAGGUCUCCAACCCCAGGACCUGGAGGAGGAGAGAAGAGAGCGAACAGAGGGGGAAUGUUGCUGUUUACAGCAGCACCAGCUCCCAGAGUUUCUUAGAAGCAGAAGUGAUCUCGGUCAUCCUGUGGGCAGGGUGUGACCCCCGUUUGACAGUGCAGGAACCUGAGGUUCAGGUCGGUCCCCCGUCCAGGUCCCAGAGUUGGGAAACAGCAGAGCAGAAGCAGCCCGGGGACCUGUGCCACUCCCUCAUCUGCUGGGGACAGGGCAGCAUGAGGAGAGCAGGCAGGGGAACAGGCCCCCUGCAGCCAUUGAAGGGGCUACCCGGGGGGUGCUUUUGAGGCUUAAACCCAGCUUCCUCAGCUACUGCAGCCUGAUCACUCAAGAUCCUCCUUAGGGAAGGGGACCUGGUGGUCUGGGCUCUGCAUGUCCAGCAAGUGUGUCUCAGGCCUUGAGAGGAAGGGGUGGCGAGCCUCACACCCCACCCCCCAACCUCCCCGUCCCCUUUGGCUUCACCUGUGAGAAGUCAAUAUUGAGGUUUUAUGACCCAAGAUAAACACACAUUUUUUUUUUUCCUCCCAUAGAGGGGUUAUCUGGUCUGGAGGGUUAAUCAGUGACCACUGGGGGUGGGGGAAGCCUUCAGGAAGAAAGCAGCUAUUGAAUUCUGUCCCCUCGGCCCAGCCUCUCCCCUUCCCCCUCCUCCCACCCACAGUUCCCACCUCCCCCACCCCGCCAGCGGGUGGGGAUAAGACAUUUGGGAGUCUGAGCCUGGAGCCCGAAUGGGUGUGUUUGGGGGACUGUUGAGGGGGUGCAUCCAAGGAGAGCAUCCUAAGUGCAGUUUGCCGUGUGCACAGUUUUCACCACAACCACCAUUUCAUUUGGUUGGCAGGACAGGUGGGCCCAGCUUGGCCAGAGGUCUGGGAGAAAGAGGGAGCACUGUCCCUUGGGGCCAUACACAGAGGAGAUGAGACUCAGGUCACAAAGCACAUGAGAUGGGGGUUCCCAUCGUGGCUCAGCAGUAAGGAACCUGAUCAGUAUCCAUGAGGUUGUGGGUUUGAUCCGUGGCCUCCCUCAGUGGGUUAAGGAUCCGGUGUUGCCGUGAGCUGUGGUGUAAGUCACAGACUUGGCUUGGAUCUGGCAUUGCUGUGGCUGUGAUGUAGGCUGGCAGCUGUAGCUCUGAUUCGACCCCUAGCCUAGGAACUUCCACAUGCCAUAAGUGUGGCCCUAAAAAGCAAAAAGCCAAAAACAAACAAAAAAACAACCCAUGAGAUGACCCAAGGUAAAUGUCAGCUGCUUCCCAGGCAGGGGCAUUGGAACCCAAGGCAUGGGCCAGCCCUGCCCCUCGCCCGCUGUGUGGCCUUUGGACGAUGGCUUAACACCUUUGGGCCUUACCUCUCCUUGCGGGGGACGGGGGGCGGGAGGGGGGUGUCUGAUGAGAUCUUGUGCUUAGAGUGAGGAAGGGACAAAGUGACUAUUUACCAUUCAAAUGGAUUAUAGCCACCUCUGCCUUCUUCAGAAAGGACAUAAUUCACCUCUGGGUUGAUGGACUUUUUUUUUUUUUGGUCUUUUGAGGGCCGCACCCAUGGCAUAUGGAGGUUCCCGGGCUAGGGGUCUAAUCAGAUCUGUAGCCGCCGGCCUAUACCAGAGCCACAGCAACGCGGGAUCGAGUCUCAUCUGUGACCUAUACUGCAGCUCAAGGCAACGCCAGAUCCUUAACACACUGAGCAAGGUCAGGGAUCGAACCUGCAACCUCAUGGUUCCUAAUCAGAUUCGUUAACCACUGAGCCACAAUGGGAACUCUGAUGGCCCUUUUACUUAGGGGAACAGUGAUGGGUCUUUGGGGUUUAGGAGUGAGCACACCCUGGAGGAGUGAGGCUGAGCUGAAGCAGGAGGGGGAAUUGUGACGCUGUGAGGGCCGUGCCCGGGAAUAGGUGAGAACUUAGUGAGGUCCGGGGGCAUCAGGAGAGAAGACUUGAAAAGUUCCACGUGAGGCAGGCAGAGGAGAGACCAACAGAGGAAGAGGGCCAAGGGGAAGUUCCCUGGGUGGGGCAGGACCCACACAUUCUAAACAACUAGUAUAUGACAAUGAAGUCAUUUUGUCCCCUAUGCUCAGAUCGCUAUCCACGAGUCCUGAAAGCAACUAAACAUCUGCCACACACGUGAGCCUUGGGUUCUUGGUACAUAGGGAGGGAGGGAGGAGUCUGGCAUCAGCUUAACAAGAGGCAGUUUGGAAAGGGGACGCCAGGCACAGGGCUGAGGACCGCAACGGGAAGCACAGACCUCAUGGUGGGUCAGGAGGAACGAACGGCCCACCUAAGAAAGCCCUCGGGAAUACUGGGCACAAGAGGUGACUCCACAAGGCUGGAGAGCUAGGGGUGCCUGGGUUACAUCCCCAAAGAGAUAUAUAUAUCCCUGGCCACACCAGUAGCAUAUGUAAGUUCCCAGGACAGGGAAUCAAACCUGCACUACAGCAGCCAUCUGAGCCACAGCAGUGACAACACAGGAUCCUUAACUGCUACGCCAUCAGGGAACUCCAGAAGAUGCCAUUUAAACAGGAUCAUGCCACAGAGGUCUGCCAUGUUGGGAUUGGCAAUGGUCUGGGAAAACCGAGGUUGAAUGCAUAUAGUCACUGACCCGGUACAGGGCACUUGGCUGGGCCUACGGCUGAUGAUGAGGCCCCUGCCCCUCCAAGAGGUUUCUCAAGAGGAUUCAGGCUGUGGCAGAGAUGACUAAUGGUCCCCUACAUCACUCCCUCCCUUCCUCUCUCAUCGUGAUAGAACCCCUGGGUUUUCAACUGGGCACAUGGCAGCCCAGAAUAAAGCUGCAUUUCACAGCCGCCCUUGUCACCAAGUGUGGCCAUGUGACCAGCAGGACAUGAACAGGAGUGGUGUGUCCAGCUUCUGAAUUGCAUACUCCCUCUUAUUCACUGGGAUGAAGAAUCAGGGGUGAACCAUGUUGGACCAUCUGGAUGGGGACACCUUCCUGGGAUGGGGAAGCGACAAGGCAAAAGAAGCUCAGAAUCCUGAUGAUGUCACAGAGCAGAAUCAUCAGACCAGCUUGGAUUCUCUCGUGAGAGAAAAAUAAACUUCCAUCUUGUUUAAGCUACUGUUAGGUUUGGUCUCCCAGUUAGAGCUACCAGAAUCUUUUCCAGAUUUGAUUUAGACCACCUGGAAGUAAAGACUGUCCAUUUAUCAUACUCACAUACUCGGCCUGGACUUCACAGCCAGGUGGGGGGAUGCAGAUGUGCAGACUGGGAAGUUGGUGACCCUGGGAGCUCCUAUUGUGGCUCCUGUCGCUCCUGUGGUAAUGAACCCGAGUGGUAUCCAUGGGGAUGUGGGUUUGAUCCCUGGCCUGGCUCAGUGAAUUAAGGAUCCAGGGUUGCCGUGAGGUUCCCUGUGGGUCACAGAUGCGGCUCGGAUCCCACGUUGAUGGAGCUGUGGCGUAGGCCGGCAGCCAUAGCUCCCAUUAGACACCCAGCCUGGAAACUUCCAUGUGACACAAGUGCAGCCCAAAAAAGAAAAAAAAGUUGGUGACUCUUGUUAUGCUCUUGCAGAAGAUUUAGUGAAACGGUGAUCUGUGAUGAUACCUUGACAGGAAGACCCCAUGCUCUCUGAGCCUAUAAUUCUAGGAGAACUUGAGAACUGGAGAGACCUGACUGCUUCUUGGUGCCUUCAGCAUGUUCCUAGAAAAGAGAGAACUCAGGGGAGACCGGGCCAGUCUGCAAGCAGAGAUGGAAGGGAAUCGAGUUUUGCCAGGGGACCCCUGUGCCUGCUGCCUGCAAUCUAAGCGUCUGAAAAUUUGGAUCUUGAAGAGUUGUAAACACCAAUGGCUUCCAUACCCACAAUGGAGGGAGUGGCCUAAGUUGGCUCUGAACAGACAGCCUUAGUAGGAGUUGACUGUGGCCCGGAGCCUUUCUCAAGCUUUCCCCGUUGAGAAUUCUCUGCCAGACGAUGGGAGCCAGCCCAGCAGCCAGGAUCAGAUUAAGGGUGUUCCCUUUCCAGCCUAGCCUGUUGUCUCAGAUGGCCUGAAGAGAACAACCACUAAGCUGAAAGAGGGGUCUGGGCAGAGCGCAUAAGCCAGUAAAAACACUGCCAGUUUUGAACCUGACAAACCGUCAGGACAAGACCUUUGGCUGAGUUAGCUGUGCAUGGAACUGACUAGAAGCAAGUAGUCCUGAAGCCUGAGAGAGGCAUGUUCUUCAGUGCCCUGAUGUGGUCGUGGAGGCUACUCACCAGAAAGAGCCUCCCAGAGGGCAAAGCCAGGAGCCAAGAAUGGAUCUGGCAGCUUGGAUCUGGUAUUGCUAUGGCUGCAGUGUAGGCCGGCAGCUACAGCUGCAAUUCAGCCCCUAGCCUGGGAACCUCCACAUGCCUGGGGUGUGGCCCUAAAAAAACAAAAGACAGAAAAAAAAAAAAGAAGAAAAAAAGAAUUGUUUUCAGAAUGUGGUAUGUGGUUCUUGUUCCAUCAUUGUGUGUUGGAGAAGGGUGGGUGUGGGGUGCAGGACAGAUAACCUGUCUUUUAGGUGUGUUGGUCUCUAGGCCACAGGAAUCUUCAUCCAGAUGUGACUGAGAUGUUGGGUACAGGAUGGCUGGUGUUUAAGGUUGUUAGUCUUGGAAGGCAGUGUUAGUGUCAGUGUUUUAUAGUGAUUGUAGCGAGUUAAGCUGGCUCCAGGGUGGACCGUGGCAGAGAUUGCUAAUUUGCCUACGAUCCAUUUUUCCCUUGCUUCUCUAGUAAACUAACACCUGACAUAUAUAUAGUGAGACAAGUGGCCACCCAGGAUAAAACUGCAUUUUCCUGACCCCUUCGAAGUCGUAUGUGGCUGUAACUAAGUUCUGGCCAGUGGCAUGUGAGGAAAGGGAUGGUACAAGUUCUGGAUCAUACCAUAGAAAGGCUCCCGUCCUCUCUCCCUGACCUGAUGGCUGGAAGGUAGAUGUAGUGGAGAGACUUGUUGGUCCACGCGUGUGAAUGCAAACUCUUAAGAUGGUGGAGCAACAAGAUAGAAGAAGCCUGGGUUCCACCGCUGCAGAGCUGAGCUAGCAUGCCAGUUGGGGCUUUUAAGUGAACAGAAAUAAACUUGCUCAAAUCUUUGGUAUGUGGGGGUUUUGUUUGUUUUUGUUAUAGCAUCUGAGCCUCUAACCUAAGUAAUACAGAUACACCUCAGUUACUGCAAUACAAUGGAAUAAAUGCUCUGGUAGACAUAUGGGUAAGGUGCUAUGGGUGUGAAGUGAUAAGUGGUUAAUUCUGUUUGGGGGAAAUCUUGGAAGGCUCCCAGGAGGAGGUGAUAUUUGAAAAACAUCUUCAAGAUGUUUUCCAGAUGCACAAGUAAGGUGAAAGGGAAGACAUGCUUGACAGUUGGACGGUAAAAACAAAGUCUCAAAGUGGUGAAAACACUUGACAAAUAGCUCAGAUGCGUAAAGGGGGAGGCAGUUCUGGGAGACAGAACUGGUGACAUUGGAUGGGACUGGUUGGGAAGGACCUUAAAUGUCACGCUAUACAGUUUAGACUUCAUCGUUUGGAACCACUGAGGGGUUUAGCAGGCAAGUAACAUGACCUAAUUUGGGGGUUUUUUAAUUUUUUUUUUUUUUAAAGUCUGGCUACAAAGUUUUAGAUGGAUUUGAGAAGAGAGAGGUUGUAGGCAGAGGGAAGGGACUAUUUAAAUGUAAUGCAAGUCAAUUCUGAUUUUCCCACAGAAACAAUGUUGUAAUAGAGGUUUAUGCUCCUGGCCAUGGACCUGAUACACCAAAUUUUAUAGAACUGACCGCAAAACCAAACUCAAAUAGCUAUAAUGGUAUACUCAUGAUCUCUAUAUUAUAAAGUUUCCAAAUAGUAUAUGAAUAAUUAAACGGGGCCCCAUAGUAACUAACCACAAAAAGAUAUGUGUAUAAUAUAAUACAAUGAAUUUAGCCUCCUAUUUCUGCCCUUUAAGAAAUGUAUUGUCGCAAAAGUAAUCUGUUUAUUUUUAAUAGCUUUAUUGAAAUAUAAUUGGCCUAUAGUGAACUGCACAAAAGUCUACAAUGUGAUAAUUUUUGACAUAUUUAUACACCCUCAAAACCAUCACCACAAACAAGAAAAUGAACAUUUCCAUCAUCAUAAAAGUUUCCUCCUGUACAAUUCCUUUCUCCCACCCCUUCUCCAUCUACCCAUCCCCAGACAUUCACUGAUCUGAUUUUUUGAAUGUUCUAGAAUUUUAUGUAAAUAGAAUCAUAACAUGUACUGUUUUCAGUCUGACUUCUUUUUCUCAGAGGAAUUAUUUUUGAGAUGCAUCCAUGCUGCAGCAUGUAUGAACAGCUGAUUCCUUUUUAAUGCUGAGUAAUAUUCCAUUGUACAGACAUACCAGUUUGUAUAUCCAUUCACCUGUUGAUGGAUCUUUGGAUUGUUUCCAGUAUUUGGUUAUUACAAAUAAAGCUGCUAUGUGCAUUCAUGAAUAGGUCUUUGUAGGAACAUAUGCUUGCAUUUCUCUGGGUAAAUACCUUGGAGUAGAAUGGCUGGAUCGCAUGAUAGGUGGAUGUUUAACUUUUUAAGAAACUGCCAAAAAGUUUUCCAAAGUGGUUGGUGGUUGUACCAUUUUACAUUUUCACCAACUCUGUAUGUAAGAUCCAGUUCCUCCCUAUCCUUGCCAGAACUUGAUAGGUCAGCCUUUUUAUUUUAGCCAUGCUAAUAGGUUUUUAGUGGUAUCUCAACUCUUUUAUGCUAUUGAUUAGAUUUUUUCCUACUAUUAUGUUUUGAGAGUUCUUGAUAUAUUCUGGAUCCAAGUCCUUUAUGAGAUACAUGAUUUGCAAAUACUUUGUCCAAGUCUGUAGUUCCUCUUUUCAUUCUCUUAAUAGCAUCUGAUAAAAAGCAUCUUUUAUGGGUCAUGUUUUUGGUGCUUUAUCUAGGAAAUUUUUGCCUACCCCGUGGUCACAAAGGUUUUCUUCUAGAUGUUUUCCUGUUUCAGUUUUACAUUUAAAUCUAUAGUCCAUUUGAGUUACGUUUUGUAUAUGGUGCAAAGUACAGAGAGAGGGUUACCUUUUUUGCUCAUUGGUGUGUAAUUGUUCCAGCAGCAGUUAUUAAAAACUCCAUCUUUUUUGCUCUGCAUUGUCCUUGUGCCUUUGUGGAAAAUCACUUGUCCAUAUAAGUAUAGGAUAAUACUUAUAGGUCAAUUUCAUCUCAACAAAGCUAUUUUUAAGAAAAGUAUAGGGUCUACUUCUGGCCUCUUGAUUCUGCUCCAUUGAUGCCUAUCUUUAUGCCAACAUCACACUGUCUUGAUUUACUUGAGCCUUGAAAUACAUUUUGAAAUCAAGUAAUGUUUUCCAACUUUGUUCUUCAAAUUUGCAUUGAUGGGGAGUUCCUGUUGUGGCUCAGCAGUAAUGAACCUGACUGGUAACCAUGAGGAUGUGGGUUUGAUCCCUGACAUGACUCAGAGGGUUAAGGAUCCAACAUUGCCAUGAGCUGUGGUGUAGGUCGAACACAAGGCUUAGAUCCCUUGUUGCUGUGGCUGUGAUUUGACCCCUAGCCUGGGAACUUCCAUGUGCCACGAGUGCAGCUAUAAAAAAAAAAAAAAAUUGUUUUGGUGAUUCUAGAUCCUUGGCACUUCCCUGUGAAUGUAAGAAUCCAUUUUCAAACUUCUUCCUACUUUUCUAUACUGAAAUCAUGAAGAAGAAAGUAAAUAUUACAAUAAUCUUACCACUUAGAAAUUAUCCCUGAUAAUAUUUUCAUUGUAUGCUUCUAGACCUUUUCUAUAAUUUAAAACAUUUUCUUUAUUAAAUGUUUAAGUAGCAUUAUGUGUUAAGCACUGUAUGUCUUUUUAACAUUAGGCUUAUCGAAACAUAGUUUAUGUAUGUUAAAAUUCACUUUUCAAGUGUAUAGUUUGAUGAGUUUUGACAAACAUACGGAGGCAUGCCACCAUCACGGCCAAGAUGUAAAAUAUUUUUGGGAACUUCCCUGAUACCCUCGCAGUUAAAGAUUUGCAUUGUCACUGCUGUGGCUCCAGUUCAAUCCCUGGCCUGGAAACUUCCACAGCUAUGG
This 8192-nucleotide long non-coding RNA is filed under the name Sus scrofa (pig). RNAcentral's name for it is "lncRNA (ENSSSCG00000059094.1)". The record is from RNAcentral. Lineage: Eukaryota; Metazoa; Chordata; Mammalia; Artiodactyla; Suidae.